This 166-nucleotide ribosomal RNA is filed under the name Justicia tubulosa. RNAcentral's name for it is "5.8S ribosomal RNA". The stretch from base 1 to 79 matches the Rfam family "5.8S ribosomal RNA", at positions 78 to 154 of the family's 154-position model. The record is from RNAcentral. Lineage: Eukaryota; Viridiplantae; Streptophyta; Magnoliopsida; Lamiales; Acanthaceae.
AAUCCCGUGAACCAUCGAGUUUUUGAACGCAAGUUGCGCCCGAAGCCUUCGGGCCGAGGGCACGCCUGCCUGGGCGUCACGCAUCGCGUCGCCCCCUCCCCCCGCUCCCCUCGGGGGGCGGGGGGCGGAGGAUGGCCUCCCGUGCGCCACGUCGCGCGGCCGGCCC